Molecule: unclassified non-coding RNA, 316 nt
Filed under: plant metagenome
Description: partial contains 5.8S ribosomal RNA, internal transcribed spacer 2, and large subunit ribosomal RNA
Rfam family: 5.8S ribosomal RNA (bases 1-106)
Source: RNAcentral
GAAAUGCGAUAAGUAAUGCGAAUUGCAGAAUUUCCGUGAGUCAUCGAAUCUUUGAACGCACAUUGCGCCCGCCAGUAUUCUGGCGGGCAUGCCUGUUCGAGCGUCAUUUCAACCCUCAAGCCCCCGGGUUUGGUGUUGGGGAUCGGGCUGCGGUUCUACCGCGUCCCGGCCCCGAAAUCUAGUGGCGGUCUCGCUGCAGCCUCCAUUGCGUAGUAGCUAACACCUCGCAACUGGAACGCGGCGCGGCCAAGCCGUUAAACCCCCAACUUCUGAAUGUUGACCUCGGAUCAGGUAGGAAUACCCGCUGAACUUAAGC